GCCAGGUGCAUUGGUAUACCCCUGUAAUCCCAGUGACUCAGGAGGCUGAAGCAGGAGGGUUUCAAGUUUGAGGCCAGCUUUAGGAACACAGUGAGACAAUUAGCUACUU
RNAcentral lists this small RNA (109 nucleotides) under Marmota monax (woodchuck). The record is from RNAcentral. Lineage: Eukaryota; Metazoa; Chordata; Mammalia; Rodentia; Sciuridae.